Molecule: long non-coding RNA, 619 nt
Organism: Suricata suricatta (meerkat)
Lineage: Eukaryota; Metazoa; Chordata; Mammalia; Carnivora; Herpestidae
Exons: 2
Source: RefSeq, a predicted model, not a curated record
UUAGGAGGAUAAUGACGGUAAUAUUGAUGAUUUUGCUGCUUUUAACACGACUGAUCCAGUAAUAAGUCAAAACACAUCUGACAACAGAAUGAAGUAAAAUGCUGUUAAUUAGUCCCAUUUUACAGAAGAAAUGAAAUGCUUGAAGUGUGCUUAUCCAAAGCCACAAAAGGUUUCUUGGUGCAGCUAAAAGCUAAAGACAACAAUGUAUUCAACAAGUCUUAAAAAAAGCUUCCUGGUGUCAGACUCUGGUGUGUGUCUGACUCUGUUCGCAGGGAGGGGCCACAAGACGGACCUGCACCCUGGCCCAUGCCCCCAGAGCUCCCGUGCUAGACACAGGAACCAAAGCAACCCCUCUACCCAGAGGCCUCUCGGAAGGGUGGGUAAACUCUCAUAGGGUGAAGGCAGAGCAAUGGAAAUAGCCAUCACGGUGGCCCACGAGGCCUUCAGCUUCCUAAGGACCCCCUCCUAGCUCAGGUGCAGGGGAUCUCACACCAUGGUCUCUCUGGAGGCACUGGCAAUGAGACAGAUAAGAGAGGCAAAGCUGUUCUGCUGCCCUUUUACUUUCCAGAUCAUCCAACACACCAGUUUCAAGCGGAAUAAAUAACAGCAUUUCUCUCUA